CGCUGGCGGCAGGCCUACACAUGCAGUCGAGCGGAUGACGGGAGCUUGCUCCUUGAUUCAGCGGCGGACGGGUGAGUAAUGCCUAGGAAUCUGCCUGGUAGUGGGGGACAACGUUUCGAAAGGAACGCUAAUACCGCAUACGUCCUACGGGAGAAAGCAGGGGACCUUCGGGCCUUGCGCUAUCAGAUGAGCCUAGGUCGGAUUAGCUAGUUGGUGGGGUAAUGGCUCACCAAGGCGACGAUCCGUAACUGGUCUGAGAGGAUGAUCAGUCACACUGGAACUGAGACACGGUCCAGACUCCUACGGGAGGCAGCAGUGGGGAAUAUUGGACAAUGGGCGAAAGCCUGAUCCAGCCAUGCCGCGUGUGUGAAGAAGGUCUUCGGAUUGUAAAGCACUUUAAGUUGGGAGGAAGGGCAGUAAGUUAAUACCUUGCUGUUUUGACGUUACCGACAGAAUAAGCACCGGCUAACUCUGUGCCAGCAGCCGCGGUAAUACAGAGGGUGCAAGCGUUAAUCGGAAUUACUGGGCGUAAAGCGCGCGUAGGUGGUUUGUUAAGUUGGAUGUGAAAGCCCCGGGCUCAACC
RNAcentral lists this ribosomal RNA (583 nucleotides) under Pseudomonas sp. DSS2. RNAcentral describes it as "bacterial SSU rRNA". It matches the Rfam family "Bacterial small subunit ribosomal RNA", at positions 34 to 614 of the family's 1533-position model. The record is from RNAcentral. Lineage: Bacteria; Pseudomonadati; Pseudomonadota; Gammaproteobacteria; Pseudomonadales; Pseudomonadaceae.